RNAcentral lists this ribosomal RNA (216 nucleotides) under Actinomortierella wolfii. RNAcentral's name for it is "Mortierella wolfii partial small subunit ribosomal RNA". It matches the Rfam family "Eukaryotic small subunit ribosomal RNA", at positions 439 to 655 of the family's 1831-position model. The record is from RNAcentral. Lineage: Eukaryota; Fungi; Mortierellomycota; Mortierellomycetes; Mortierellales; Mortierellaceae.
AAUUACCCAAUCCCGACACGGGGAGGUAGUGACAAUAAAUAACAAUACAGGGCUUUUUGAGUCUUGUAAUUGGAAUGAGUACAAUUUAAAUCCCUUAACGAGGAACAAUUGGAGGGCAAGUCUGGUGCCAGCAGCCGCGGUAAUUCCAGCUCCAAUAGCGUAUAUUAAAGUUGUUGCAGUUAAAAAGCUCGUAGUUGAAUUUUGGACUCGGUUGGA